UUUAGUUGUUAUUUGACUGGAUCAAUCUUAUGUUUCUUUAUCCUCUCCUCAGUAAGUUUUUUCCCCUGCCUUCCUUUUCAUGGUACUUCAAUUUGUGAUUUUUGGCUCUUUAAGAGAGAAUAUGGAUGGGAUCAUUUUACUGUAUUUCAAGAUUUUUAUGGUGAUGAGUUUCUGGUUCAUGCCCCAAUGUUCUCUCUUUUCACAUGUGAAAAAGGAUCUUGUUUUCUUGCUGUCGUUUUUGCUGUCUCACAUCUGCUUGCAGAGUCAACCACUUGAUGGUGGCUGUAUAUGUAGUUGUACAGGCAGCUGUUCCAUCUUUAAUGUUUGUGUUGUUUCCCAUUUCAGCAUCUUGUCAGUUAUUGCUUUGACAUGUAUGAUUCACAAUUUAUGUUUAAUGUGUGUGCACAUUAUAUUGUAUUUUCACAUGCCUAACAAAUGGGGGGGGAAAAAAAAGUGCUAGCAGAUUUUGACAAUACUGUGAGUUAAUUUGUUGUACUUUAUAGUUAGGAGUUGUUUCAAAAAGUUCUCCAUAAAAAGGUUUGUGGAUUUAGAUAAAAGAUGGUGAAAUGUGUCACAUGUGGUUGAAAAGUUGAUAAAAGUUGUGUGUUCCAUGAUAUUAUGGUUAAAAUCAAUUUUUUAGCAACAUUUUUUGCUUUCCUGAACAAGCACUUUGUAGAUAAGCAUUUACUAUCCCCUUACGUAUUAGACUGCAAAUAAUUCUCUUUCUUUCCUUUUCUUUUGUCCCGUCUGUAUUUGUUCCUUUUGGCAUAAUUAUUUUCGUUCAAUCAGUGCAAGCAAUAUGAGAAGGACCUAAUGGACAUGAUCGAUAGAGAAGUGGAUGGAAGUGAUAGUCUUGAGGGGAUUUGUUCUGUGCCAUUCAAUUGCUAGUGGUACAAGCUAAGGUUUCCAAAUCCUAUCACAUUGUGCAAAUUUUCUAUGUAAAUUCCAAAAUAUGAAUGUCUUGAUUCAUAUUUGAUUUUCAUAAGAAUAUGAAACUGGUUUUGUACUGUUCACGGAAGGACAGGUCAACUGCACUGUAGAGGCCCAAUUUAUUCUCUCUGCUUUCACUGUAUAUACUCAAUGUAUCUAUCUCUUCCUUUUCAUUUCUUCCCCCAUUUAGCCAUCCUUGUUGACUAUAUAAUAGUUAUUUGCUUUCCAUGUAGCCACCAUUCUUUCUAGCUACAGUGGUUCUGCAUUGUUCAUUAAAUGAUCGCCCUAACAAAGCGUCAUUUCUUCCAUCUCUAAACCCUCUUUUUUCUUUCCCGAAUUUCAAUCCCCAUUCCCAACACACUUUAAUUCCUCCUACAACGCUAAAAACCCUUCAAUUAAUUUCAUCUCUCCAGGAAUGAGCUGGCUGUACAAGCUUAGAUUUGGUGUUCUUAACUCCACCGACUCCAUGUGGAUUCCUCUUUCGAUUCUUCCAUAGCGCAUGGGACUAGACGAUCAUGUACUCGCUCUGAGCCAUCAGUUCGUGCAAUUCGAAGGAGGUAGAGAAUAUAGUAUUGGCUUCCUCCAUUGCAAUUUAUUGUUGAGUUUUUUUAAAACAGUAUUUAAUCGUAUCCCCAAGAAAAAUUUAUGAAUUUCAGUUCAGAAAUUUGAGAAAAAAUGUGAAGUUUAGGUUUGCUUUCAUCUUAAAUGUCUUAAAAGUUUGUUCUUAUUGGCAAAAAGUUUUAAAUUUCUGCAUUUAUUUAAUUAAGCUUGCUCAUUUUUAUCACCGGCAAAACUAAGAUUUCAGAUUUUGGGUGUGGUGUGGGGCUGAGCAACAUAGGGAAGCAGCAAUGCACAAAGGUCACUCAGAUUAAAAGGCUAAUUGCUAGAAACUGGUGAAUAUAAGCACAAGGAAGAUUUGGAAAUGCUUAUAAAUUUAGAGCUGGGGAAGUUAAAUUAUGUUGAGAACGAGUUCCGGAAUUAUGAAUAUAUUGUAAGAAAAAAUAAUAAAUGAGAUUGUAUAUAAAAUAAAAAGUGGAGCAAUUUGAUUGAAUUAUGCCACUAUGAGUUUUAAUUUUUGAUUUCUUUUAUUUUUUGAUUGUCAAAUUUGUCGACGAAUAAAUGAAACAUAGGAUUGAGUUGAGUAUGACGUGGAGAAAUGUGACUAGAGAGCUUGAAACAUUGACCUCUUGAAAAUUAACUUUUGAGAACGUGAAAACUUCCAACUAGAAAGUAGAAACUGCAUGAUCGGCUGAAUAAUUUGUAAAAAGAAGUGACAAACUGUAAUUUCUCUAUUUUGUGAUUUAUGUUUUCGUGAACAUUAUUGUAGCUAGAUGUUCCUUUAGUUUAUCAUUCACAUAUUGAAAUGAGAUAUUGCACAUGCUAGAAGAAAUAUGUAAUCCUCCUUCUGGUUCUUGGCAAAAUUUGAAGGUGAGUAGAAUUUUCUGAGUACGAACUUUGUUGUUGUUGUUUUUUUUUCUGGCAAUUAUAUUUAUCUUGUGAAAAACUGUUUCAGGAUUACAUGUGAAAAUCUAGGGAUGUUUUUUUUCUCAAGUUUCUUGUGAUGAUGAUGGUAAGUUAUUUUACUCAAUACAAUUUUUUUUACUAUAGAGAUGCUAAUGGCUCCGUGCAACCUUGUUAAUGGGGUUUAUAAACAUUUGUUACUAUAUUCAGGAACCUUUGGCAUAGUUAACUAUAGUAAUUGCUAAAACAUUAAUUAUGUUGUAAGUCACAGUUGUAUUCAUCUUCAAAAUGUUUGAGCUUCUGUGCAUCCAUGAAUUUUUCUAGUCAAUUUGGUAAUUUGUUGUCCUCUUGCUCAGAUCCGGAAAUUUGAUGAUCACGAUUUGAAGAAUCUUU
This 2784-nucleotide long non-coding RNA is filed under the name Olea europaea subsp. europaea. The record is from RNAcentral. Lineage: Eukaryota; Viridiplantae; Streptophyta; Magnoliopsida; Lamiales; Oleaceae.